GACGAACGCUGGCGGCGUGCUUAACACAUGCCAGUCGAACGGAAAGGCCCUGCUUUUGUGGGGUGCUCGAGUGGCGAACGGGUGAGUAACACGUGAGUAACCUGCCCUUGACUUUGGGAUAACUUCAGGAAACUGGGGCUAAUACCGGAUAGGAGCUCCUGCUGCAUGGUGGGGGUUGGAAAGUUUCGGCGGUUGGGGAUGGACUCGCGGCUUAUCAGCUUGUUGGUGGGGUAGUGGCUUACCAAGGCUUUGACGGGUAGCCGGCCCGAGAGGGUGACCGGCGACAUUGGGCCUGAGAGACGGACCAGACUGGUACGGGAGGCAGCAGUGGGGAAUAUUGCACAAUGGGCGGAAGCCUGAUGCAGAAACGCCGCGUGCGGGAUGACGGCCUGCGGGUUGUAAACCGCUUUCGCCUGUGAUGAAGCGUGAGUGACGGUAAUGGGUAAAGAAGCACCGGCUAACUACGUG
Molecule: ribosomal RNA, 468 nt
Filed under: uncultured bacterium
Lineage: Bacteria
Description: partial 16S ribosomal RNA
Rfam family: Bacterial small subunit ribosomal RNA
Source: RNAcentral